This 140-nucleotide ribosomal RNA is filed under the name uncultured bacterium. Its description in RNAcentral is "partial 16S ribosomal RNA". It matches the Rfam family "Bacterial small subunit ribosomal RNA", at positions 353 to 509 of the family's 1533-position model. The record is from RNAcentral.
AGUGGGGGGAUAUUGCACAAUGGGGGGAACCCUGAUGCAGCGACGCCGCGUGGGUGAAGAAGCGCCUCGGCGCGUAAAGCCCUGUCAGCAGGGAAGAAAAUGACGGUACCUGAAGAAGAAGCCCCGGCUAACUACGUGCC